CUUUUCAGAGAAGGUCUCGAAUCCUGAAGACAGACUUCGAGGGGAUGAUGCAGCAAGAAGACCCACACCAGAUGAGGGCGCCUUGAUAUUGGAUUUCCCAGCCUCCAGAACUCAAAUAAAAAUGCAGUCUGGAUUUUAAGGGCCACACAGCAGCAAGAACUAAAACCUGGGUCUCCAAGGUCCAAGUCCAGGACUUCUCUAUGACACCCUACUGCAGCCCUUUGCUGGAUACCAUACAAAGCAAAUUGAGCAGAUGUGUUCUCUGCCCUCUGAAAGUUUGGACUCAAAUGGACAGCCACAAUUCUGGCAAACAUAAAAGGACAAAGUGAUUUAGUGUCAACUCACAUACGCAAUAAAUAACUGAGUUAAAUAGAUAAGGAAAGGCAUGUUCACCUGGUCUACUGAUAUUUUUUAAAUUCCAGUUGAGUAGAGAGCAAUGUUAAUAAGACUAAGGUUUUGGGCCAGUCCCAUUUUUGCCUACUUGCUUUGCACCUGGAAAAAUAUUUGUAACUGCAUGCAAACUCUUUCCCCUCCUCGUCUUCAACAAUCUGUAAACUUUCCCUGAGCAGCUACCAAGUGUAACACAAAGUGGGAAUGAAGGACCAUUAAGAAAUCAUCUCUGUGCCAUGCGCGGUGGCUCAAGCCUAUAAUCCCAGCACUUUGGGAGGCCGAGGCGGGUGGAUCACCUGAGCUCGGGAGUUCAAGGCCAGCCUGGCCAAUAUGGUGAAACCCUGUCUCUACUAAAAAUACAAAAAAAAAAAAAAAAAAAAAAUAGCUGGAUAUGAUGGCAUGUACCUGUAGUCCCAGCUACUCAGGAGGCUGAGGCAGAAGAAUCGCUUGAACCCAGGAGGCAGAGGUUGCAGUGAGCUGAGAUUGCUCCAUUGCACUCCAGCCUGAGAAACAAAAGCAAAACUCUAUCCCCACCCCCCCCAAAAAAAAGGAAGGAAAAGAGAAGAAAAAAAGUCAUCUGUGCCCUCGAGCAACAUCUUUAACCAUUCGCCUAAUUCAAACCACUGGGAUGAAAAUGUAUAUCCUGUAUAUACCAUCUCUACUGCUGGGAAAAAAGACACGUCAACUCAAUACCCAUCCUAUUUUUAGACGGCCUGAGAUUCGUCCUUAUCCAUGCAGGGCAGUCGGGUAGGACAAUGAAGAGGUGGACUUCUGAAUUUGAGAGAAAUUGGUCUUAUCCCAGAGAAGUGAGGCCACCACCCACCUGCAAUAGCUUGGCUUCCUGGAUCCCUAAGCAAAGACAGAGUCUUGCUCUGUCACUCGGGCUGGAGUACAGUGACACAAUCACGGUUCACUGCAGCCUGGACCUCCCAGGCUCAAGUGAUCCCCCUGCUGCAGCCUCCUGAGUAGCUGGGACUACAGGCCUGUGCCACCAUGUCCAGAGGGUAGCAGACAAGCAAGAGGGUGGAAUUUGCAGCAUCUCAUCUUGGUGAGACAGUUGGAAGACUUUUCUGCCAAUUAUAGUGGUUAAACACUGACUCAACAUCAAACAACGGCAUGAGGGGUCAGAGCCUUCAUUCGUGGACAAGUUUCAAAAACAUGGGAGCACCACCUGUCAUGAGCAAUUUAGUCAGAACAGAAGAGAAUAGAUCACACCCAACAAGACAGAAAAAGCUGCUUUCUGGAGAGGGCGGGAGCUAAUAUUUCCUAACACGGUGAAAUUGUGAAGUGCUUUUUGCAGCCCUUCAUAAUUUCAUCAUCCAAAGGGUUUGCUUUUGGAAUUCUUAGACACUUAAUUCUGUCCCUGCUUUCCGUGUCACUUCCACGGGACACUGAAUUUGGGAAGAGGGAGACCUCACCAAUGAUGGGAAGAACAGAUUGGGGGCUGGCGCCCUUUUGGGUUUGCCAUGUGAACAUCCUCCUGGAACAGUCUCCAUUCUGUCCCAGCAAGACACACUCUGCUCUGUGAAGAACCCAGGUGGGAAAAAAAAAAAAAUCUAUGAGGCCACAGUGGAAAUGCAGCUCAGCAGGACUCUCAGGUACCCCAAAAUUGUCCCAUCUGACAACUCACCACAUUCUAUUUAUUUAUUUAUUUAUUUAUUUUGAGAUGGAGUCUCACUGUGUCACCCAGGCUGGAGUGUAGUGGCGUGAUCUAGGCUCACCGCAGCCUACGCCUCCCAGAUUCAAGCGAUUCUCCUGCCUCAGCCUCCCAUGUAGCUGAGACUACAGGCAUGCGCCACCACACCCAGCUAAUUUUUGUAUUUUUAGUAGAGAUGGGGUUUCGCCAUGUUGCCCAGGCUGGUCUCAAACUUCUGACCUCAGGUGAUCCACCCCCGCCCCUCAGCCUCCCAAAGUUCUGGGAUUACAGUCAUGAGACACUGCACCUGGCCAACACAUUCUGUUUUCAUCAUUAGUGCCUGUCCUCCCUGCUAGCUCAUGGGCUCCCCCAGAGCAGGCAUGUUUGCCCUAGUCACCAUCAAAACUGUCUUAGUACCUGUCACGGUGCCUGGCACAUAGCAGUUAUUCAGUAAAUGUUUGUUGAAUAAAUCAACUAUAAACAUCAAAAUGAUUCCCUUAAAAAGGUCUUCAUUCUUGUUCAGAUGUAGAGAGUUACAUUACAAACACUUGUGUGCUGGGGAUAGGAAGGGACACUGUUGGGUAAUAAUAAGUGCUUGAAACAUGUGGGAGGGCCCUGGAAAAUAGCCCAAAAAGUUCACAUUGUAUCUGAUAAGCAACAGGGAGCUACUGCAGGUUCUUCAGGUCACCAGUAGGCAAGCAGGUGGUGGCUUUCCAGGCUGAAAAGUGUAUUUGAUCUGGAAGAUAGUAGGAUCACAGACAAACAGUGAGUCUUGGAGUAGCCUGAUCACAGUGGCAAGCUCAAGAGACAAUUUUAUGGCUGAGGGCUGAAUGUUUCAGCUGGGUGGGUGUCAAGAAACCAGCAAGACUCCAGGCAUGGUGGCUCAUGCCUGUAAUCCCAACACUUAGGGAGGCCGAGACAGAGGAUCCCUUAAGCCCAGGAGUUUGAGACCAGCCUGGGCAGUAUAAGGAAGCCCUGUCUCUACAAAAAUAAAAACAUAACAAAAUUAGCCAAGUGUGGUGGCGUGUGCCUGUGCUUCUAGCUCCUUCAGAGGCUGAAGUGGGGAGGAUCACUCGAGCCUGGGAGGUUGAGGCUUCACUGAGCUGUGAUCAUGCUGCUGCACUCCAGCCUGGGCGACAGAGUGAGACCCUGUCUCAAAAAACAAACAAACAAACAAGAAACCCAGCAAGAAUUAAGAAUUCUGGUGAGC
RNAcentral lists this long non-coding RNA (3236 nucleotides) under Homo sapiens (human). RNAcentral describes it as "non-protein coding lnc-NGFR-3:17". Lineage: Eukaryota; Metazoa; Chordata; Mammalia; Primates; Hominidae. The record is from RNAcentral.